CGUGCAUCAGUGGGGUCCCUCGGCCUGGCCUGUGCCCUCCUGCAAUCCGGGACCCCUCGGGGGAUGUUGGAGAGCUGGUUUCGGCCCAAUCUCACAGGCCAGGCCGAGGGACCCCACUGGUGCAUG
Non-coding RNA from Myotis brandtii (Brandt's bat), 126 nucleotides. Lineage: Eukaryota; Metazoa; Chordata; Mammalia; Chiroptera; Vespertilionidae. The record is from Rfam.